CCUACGGGAGGCAGCAGUGGGGGAUAUUGCACAAUGGGGGAAACCCUGAUGCAGCGACGCCGCGUGUGGGAAGAAGGUUCUCUGGAUUGUAAACUAUUGUCCCCAGGGACAAAGAUGACGGUACCUGGGGAGGAAGCUCCGGCUAACUACGUGCCAGCAGCCGCGGUAAUACAUAGGGAGCGAGCGUUGCCCGGACUUACUGGGUGAAAAGGGAGCGUAGGCGGGACGGCAAUUUGGUGGGAAAAUCAAGCGGCUAAACCCGGAGCCGCCUUGGAAACCGCCGUGCUAGAGUGCAGUAGAGGUAGGCGGAAUGCCUAGUGUAGCGGUGAAAUGCGUAGAUAUUAGGAGGAACACCAGUGGCGAAGGCGGCCUGCUGGGCUUUUACUGACGUUGAGGCUCGAAAGUGUGGGGAGCAAACAGGAUUAGAUACCCUAGUAGUC
This 440-nucleotide ribosomal RNA is filed under the name uncultured bacterium. RNAcentral describes it as "partial 16S ribosomal RNA". It matches the Rfam family "Bacterial small subunit ribosomal RNA", at positions 338 to 795 of the family's 1533-position model. The record is from RNAcentral.